CAGUAGGCUCAGUCAAUUUGAUACCUGUGUCAGUAUGGAUAGAAGUGAUGUUAUUUUAGCCUGUCCUGAUCCUCCAUUGUGCAUGAAAGUACUUAGUAUUUGCAUCUCCACAUUCAAUCCAUGUAACUUUGGAUUUUUGUCUCAUUACCUGCUCUUCAACUUUGUUCCAUUUGUCAAGUUCUUCUAGCAAACCUCUUUCUUCAAUAAUCAGCUCCUGUGAAAGACAGUUAGUCUGCAUUUGUAACUGUAAAAUAUCAAGUUUUUCUCUUGUCUGGAUGAUCUGCUGUUUGUAUUUGGCUAAAUGGUC
RNAcentral lists this long non-coding RNA (307 nucleotides) under Nicotiana benthamiana. RNAcentral describes it as "long non-coding RNA (NBEN_LNC012040)". The record is from RNAcentral. Lineage: Eukaryota; Viridiplantae; Streptophyta; Magnoliopsida; Solanales; Solanaceae.